Molecule: ribosomal RNA, 484 nt
Filed under: uncultured bacterium
Lineage: Bacteria
Description: partial 16S ribosomal RNA
Rfam family: Bacterial small subunit ribosomal RNA
Source: RNAcentral
AUUGAACGCUGGCGGCAGGCCUAACACAUGCAAGUCGAGCGGAUGAAGGGAGCUUGCUCCUGGAUUCAGCGGCGGACGGGUGAGUAAUGCCUAGGAAUCUGCCUGGUAGUGGGGGAUAACGUCCGGAAACGGGCGCUAAUACCGCAUACGUCCUGAGGGAGAAAGUGGGGGAUCUUCGGACCUCACGCUAUCAGAUGAGCCUAGGUCGGAUUAGCUAGUUGGUGGGGUAAAGGCCUACCAAGGCGACGAUCCGUAACUGGUCUGAGAGGAUGAUCAGUCACACUGGAACUGAGACACGGUCCAGACUCCUACGGGAGGCAGCAGUGGGGAAUAUUGGGCAAAGCGCGAAAGCCUGAUCCAGCCAUGCCGCGUGUGUGAAGAAGGUCUUCGGAUUGUAAAGCACUUUAAGUUGGGAGGAAGGGCAGUAAGUUAAUACCUUGCUGUUUUGACGUUACCAACAGAAUAAGCACCGGCUAACCUCGUG